RNAcentral lists this ribosomal RNA (207 nucleotides) under uncultured bacterium. RNAcentral's name for it is "partial 16S ribosomal RNA". It matches the Rfam family "Bacterial small subunit ribosomal RNA", at positions 568 to 774 of the family's 1533-position model. The record is from RNAcentral.
UGCGUAGGUGGCGGGGUAAGUCGGAUGUGAAAUCUCCGAGCUCAACUCGGAAAUGGCAUUGGAAACUACCUUGCUCGAGGGUUGGAGGGGGGACUGGAAUACUUGGUGUAGCAGUGAAAUGCGUAGAUAUCAAGUGGAACACCAGUGGCGAAGGCGAGUCCCUGGACAACUCCUGACACUGAGGCACGAAAGCUAGGGGAGCAAACA